This 349-nucleotide long non-coding RNA is filed under the name Rhinopithecus bieti (black snub-nosed monkey). Its description in RNAcentral is "lncRNA (ENSRBIG00000046714.1)". Lineage: Eukaryota; Metazoa; Chordata; Mammalia; Primates; Cercopithecidae. The record is from RNAcentral.
AAUUUUUUUAAAAAAAAUGAUAUGUCUAUUUUUUGUUUGUUUUCAUUUAUUUGUUUUAGAAUGACGGGGGAAAUGGAAGGAGAAAAAAAAACAAUGCUAAAAAGCCUGGAGAUGACCACAUAUGAAAGGACCAUAUGUGCAAAGGACUGCUGGAAAAUGAAUCAGACGUGCAAAAACAACAACAACAAGAACAAACCAAAAAAACAGGCUUUGCUAAAAAUUGCUAUGUUGUUACGCUGGUCUCAAACUUCUGGCCUCAAGCGAUGCUCCCAUCUCUGCCUCCCCAAGUGCCCGGAUUAAAGGUAUGAGUCACAGGCCAUUGUACCUGGCCAGUUUUGUUUUCUUUUCU